RNAcentral lists this ribosomal RNA (463 nucleotides) under uncultured bacterium. RNAcentral describes it as "partial 16S ribosomal RNA". It matches the Rfam family "Bacterial small subunit ribosomal RNA", at positions 30 to 507 of the family's 1533-position model. The record is from RNAcentral.
CGAACGCUGGCGGCGUGCUUAACACAUGCAAGUCGAACGGAAAGGCCCCUUUGGGGGUCCUCGAGUGGCGAACGGGUGAGUAACACGUGAGUAACCUGCCCUUGACUUCGGGAUAACUUCAGGAAACUGGGGCUAAUACCGGAUAGGAAUCCUUGCUGCAUGGUGGGGGUUGGAAAGCUUCGGCGGUUUUGGAUGGACUCGCGGCUUAUCAGCUUGUUGGUGGGGUAGUGGCUUACCAAGGCUUUGACGGGUAGCCGGCCUGAGAGGGCGACCGGCCACAUUGGGACUGAGAUACGGCCCAGACUCCUACGGGAGGCAGCGGUGGGGAAUAUUGCACAAUGGGCGGAAGCCUGAUGCAGCAACGCCGCGGGCGGGAUGACGGCCUUCGGGUUGUAAACCGCUUUCAGCAGGGGCGAAGCUUGUGGUGACGGUACCUGCAGAAGAAGCACCGGCUAACUACGUG